CAGAGCUUGCUCUGAUGAAAGUGGCGCACGGGUGAGUAACGCGUGGAUAACCUGCCCUGGUAUCUGGGAUAACAUCUCGAAAGGGGUGCUAAUACCGGAUAAGCCCACGGGUUCCUCGGAAUCUGCGGGAAAAGAAGGCCUCUAUUUAUAAGCUUUCGUAUCAUGAUGGGUCCGCGUACCAUUAGCUAGUUGGUGGGGUAAUGGCCUACCAAGGCGACGAUGGUUAGCUGGUCUGAGAGGAUGAUCAGCCACACUGGAACUGAGACACGGUCCAGACUCCUACGGGAGGCAGCAGUGGGGAAUUUUGCGCAAUGGGGGAAACCCUGACGCAGCAWCGCCGCGUGAGUGAUGAAGGCUUUCGGGUCGUAAAGCUCUGUCAGAGGGGAAGAAAUGGGUCGUGCUAAUAUCACKGCUUCUUGACGGUACCCUCAAAGGAAGCACCGGCUAACUCCGUGCCAGCAGCCGCGGUAAUAC
This 474-nucleotide ribosomal RNA is filed under the name uncultured Geobacter sp. RNAcentral's name for it is "bacterial SSU rRNA". It matches the Rfam family "Bacterial small subunit ribosomal RNA", at positions 74 to 526 of the family's 1533-position model. Lineage: Bacteria; Pseudomonadati; Thermodesulfobacteriota; Desulfuromonadia; Geobacterales; Geobacteraceae. The record is from RNAcentral. RNAcentral also lists the same sequence under 1 other name.